GAUGAACGCUGGCGGCGUGCCUAAUACAUGCAAGUCGAACGCUGGAAAUCUAGCUUGCUAGAUUGAAGGAGUGGCGAACGGGUGAGUAAUACAUAAGCAACCUACCCACGAAGUCUGGGAUAAUCUCUGGAAACGGGGACUAAUACCGGAUAGGUAAUCGGAAGGCAUCUUCUGAUUAUUAAAUGUUAAAAACACUGGUGGAUGGGCUUAUGGCGCAUUUGUUAGUUGGUGAGGUAACGGCCCACCAAGACGAUGAUGCUUAGCCGGCCGGAGAGGGUGAACGACCAGAUUUGGACUGAGGCCCGGCCCAGACGCCUACGGGAGGCAGCAGUAGAGAAGAUUCGGCGAUGGGGGAAACCCUAACCGAGCAACGCGGGGUGAGUGAUGACGGCGUUCGGGAUGUAAAGCUGUGGUGUAAGGGAAGAACGGUAGAUAGAGAAUAUCUAAAUGACGGUACCUUAACAGAAAGCCACGGCUAACUACGUG
This 486-nucleotide ribosomal RNA is filed under the name uncultured bacterium. RNAcentral describes it as "partial 16S ribosomal RNA". It matches the Rfam family "Bacterial small subunit ribosomal RNA", at positions 28 to 507 of the family's 1533-position model. The record is from RNAcentral.